Molecule: ribosomal RNA, 454 nt
Filed under: uncultured bacterium
Lineage: Bacteria
Description: partial 16S ribosomal RNA
Rfam family: Bacterial small subunit ribosomal RNA
Source: RNAcentral
GAUGAACGCUGACAGCAUGCUUAACACAUGCAAGUCUACUUGAACUUCGGUUUGGGUGGCGGACGGGUGAGUAACGCGUAAAGAACUUGCCUCACAGUUAGGGACAACAUUUGGAAACGAAUGCUAAUACCUGAUAUUAUGAUUUUAGGGCAUCCUAGGAUUAUGAAAGCUAUAUGUGCUGUGAGAGAGCUUUGCGUCCCAUUAGCUAGUUGGAGAGGUAACGGCUCACCAAGGCGAUGAUGGGUAGCCGGCCUGAGAGGGUGAACGGCCACAAGGGGACUGAGACACGGCCCUUACUCCUACGGGAGGCAACAGUGGGGAAUAUGGGACAAUGGACCAAAAGUCUGAUCCAGCAAUUCUGUGUGCACGAUGACGUUUUUCGGAAUGUAAAGUGCUUUCAGUUGGGAAGAAAAAAAUGACGGUACCAACAGAAGAAGUGACGGCUAAAUACGUG